This 392-nucleotide ribosomal RNA is filed under the name Isodictya bentarti. RNAcentral's name for it is "LSU rRNA". The record is from RNAcentral. Lineage: Eukaryota; Metazoa; Porifera; Demospongiae; Poecilosclerida; Isodictyidae.
AAUGCAGCUGAAGUGGCUCCCCGUCAGGCUCAGGAUGCGUGGGUGGGCUCUGCUUCUCUGUCGGGAGCCGUGAGGCACCGCGGAGAGGCGGGUCGCCGACAACUCUGCAUUUCUGCGGGGAGCCGGCCAACAGCAGUUGUUCCUGGCUCACAAGGGCUCUUGGGAAGGUAGCCCCGCGUUCGCGUGGGGAACUUAUAGCCUCGAGUCUGGCCAGUCUGGGAGCGACUGAGGAGAGUUGCGAUUUUUCGCACGAGCAGCGUGGGCCUUCAGGGGCUGGGCCCCUCUUGUUCGGUCGGCGGUCGUCGUCGUCACUGCGUGCAGUGGCUUCGGUCGUCUUUGCUUGCUGGGCUCGAGGUCGGUCACAACUUGCGCUGCGGUUGUUGGUGUCCAAA